UACGUAGGGUGCAAGCGUUAAUCGGAAUUACUGGGCGUAAAGCGUGCGCAGGCGGUGAUGUAAGACAGGUGUGAAAUCCCCGGGCUUAACCUGGGAACUGCAUUUGUGACUGCAUCGCUGGAGUGCGGCAGAGGGGGAUGGAAUUCCGCGUGUAGCAGUGAAAUGCGUAGAUAUGCGGAGGAACAUCCGUGGCGAAGGCGGCCAUCUGGAUCAACACUGACGCUGAGGCACGAAAGCGUGGGGAGCAAACAGG
This 253-nucleotide ribosomal RNA is filed under the name uncultured prokaryote. Its description in RNAcentral is "partial 16S ribosomal RNA". It matches the Rfam family "Bacterial small subunit ribosomal RNA", at positions 524 to 776 of the family's 1533-position model. The record is from RNAcentral.